RNAcentral lists this ribosomal RNA (468 nucleotides) under uncultured bacterium. Its description in RNAcentral is "partial 16S ribosomal RNA". It matches the Rfam family "Bacterial small subunit ribosomal RNA", at positions 28 to 523 of the family's 1533-position model. The record is from RNAcentral.
GAUGAACGCUGGCGGCGUGCCUAACACAUGCAAGUCGAGCGAUUCUCUUCGGAGAAGAGCGGCGGACGGGUGAGUAACGCGUGGGUAACCUGCCCUGUACACACGGAUAACAUACCGAAAGGUAUGCUAAUACGAGAUAAUAUGCAUUUGUCGCAUGGUAGAAGUAUAAAAGCUUUUGCGGUACAGGAUGGACCCGCGUCUGAUUAGCUAGUUGGUAAGGUAACGGCUUACCAAGGCGACGAUAAGUAGCCGACCUGAGAGGGUGAUCGGCCACAUUGGAACUGAGACACGGUCCAAACUCCUACGGGAGGCAGCAGUGGGGAAUAUUGCACAAUGGGCGAAAGCCUGAUGCAGCAACGCCGCGUGAGCGAUGAAGGCCUUCGGGUCGUAAAGCUCUGUCCUCAAGGAAGAUAAUGACGGUACUUGAGGAGGAAGCCCCGGCUAACUACGUGCCAGCAGCCGCGGUAA